GACGAACGCUGGCGGCGUGCUUAACACAUGCAAGUCGAACGGAAAGGCCCUGCUUUUGUGGGGUGCUCGAGUGGCGAACGGGUGAGUAACACGUGAGUAACCUGCCCUUGACUUUGGGAUAACUUCAGGAAACUGGGGCUAAUACCGGAUAGGAGCUCCUGCUGCAUGGUGGGGGUUGGAAAGUUUCGGCGGUUGGGGAUGGACUCGCGGCUUAUCAGCUUGUUGGUGGGGUAGUGGCUUACCAAGGCUUUGACGGGUAGCCGGCCUGAGAGGGUGGCCGGGCACAUUGGGACUGAGAUACGGACCAGACGGCUACGGGAGGCAGCAGUGGAGAAUAUUGCGCAAUGGGCGGGAGCCUGAUGCAGCAACGCCGCGUGCGGGAUGACGGCCUUCGGGUUGUAAACCGCUUUCGCCUGUAACGAAGCGUGAGUGACGGUAAUGGGUAAAGAAGCACCGGCUAACUACGUG
Molecule: ribosomal RNA, 468 nt
Filed under: uncultured bacterium
Lineage: Bacteria
Description: partial 16S ribosomal RNA
Rfam family: Bacterial small subunit ribosomal RNA
Source: RNAcentral